This 521-nucleotide ribosomal RNA is filed under the name Salmonella enterica subsp. enterica serovar Weltevreden. Its description in RNAcentral is "partial 23S ribosomal RNA". It matches the Rfam family "Bacterial large subunit ribosomal RNA", at positions 161 to 605 of the family's 2925-position model. Lineage: Bacteria; Pseudomonadati; Pseudomonadota; Gammaproteobacteria; Enterobacterales; Enterobacteriaceae. The record is from RNAcentral.
AAUCCAUAGGUUAAUGAGGCGAACCGGGGGAACUGAAACAUCUAAGUACCCCGAGGAAAAGAAAUCAACCGAGAUUCCCCCAGUAGCGGCGAGCGAACGGGGAGGAGCCCAGAGCCUGAAUCAGCAUGUGUGUUAGUGGAAGCGUCUGGAAAGGCGCGCGAUACAGGGUGACAGCCCCGUACACAAAAGCGCAUGUGCUGUGAGCUCGAUGAGUAGGGCGGGACACGUGGUAUCCUGUCUGAAUAUGGGGGGACCAUCCUCCAAGGCUAAAUACUCCUGACUGACCGAUAGUGAACCAGUACCGUGAGGGAAAGGCGAAAAGAACCCCGGCGAGGGGAGUGAAAAAGAACCUGAAACCGUGUACGUACAAGCAGUGGGAGCCCCACCACCAAAGCGUUUCGCUUUGUGUGGUGCACAAAGAAGCGUAACGACAGCACUGAAUGACGGUUAACGGAGCGCAAGCGACGUUCAACAUACAAAGUCAAGCAGUGGAGCGCUUUGGGGUGGGGUGACUGCGUACC